CCUGGCUCAGAUUGAACGCUGGCGGCAUGCCUUACACAUGCAAGUCGAACGGCAGCACGGAGCUUGCUCUGGUGGCGAGUGGCGAACGGGUGAGUAAUAUAUCGGAACGUACCCUAGAGUGGGGGAUAACGUAGCGAAAGUUACGCUAAUACCGCAUACGAUCUACGGAUGAAAGCGGGGGACCGCAAGGCCUCGCGCGAUAGGAGCGGCCGAUGUCUGAUUAGCUAGUUGGUGGGGUAAAGGCCCACCAAGGCGACGAUCAGUAGCUGGUCUGAGAGGACGAUCAGCCACACUGGGACUGAGACACGGCCCAGACUCCUACGGGAGGCAGCAGUGGGGAAUUUUGGACAAUGGGGGCAACCCUGAUCCAGCAAUGCCGCGUGUGUGAAGAAGGCCUUCGGGUUGUAAAGCACUUUUGUCCGGAAAGAAAUCCCUUGCCCUAAUACGGCGGGGGGAUGACGGUACCGGAAGAAUAAGCAC
RNAcentral lists this ribosomal RNA (480 nucleotides) under uncultured bacterium. RNAcentral's name for it is "bacterial SSU rRNA". It matches the Rfam family "Bacterial small subunit ribosomal RNA", at positions 18 to 493 of the family's 1533-position model. The record is from RNAcentral.